CCUACGGGAGGCUGCAGUGGGGGAUAUUGCACAAUGGGGGGAACCCUGAUGCAGCGACGCCGCGUGGGUGAAGGAGUGCUUCGGCAUGUAAAGCCCUAUCGGCAGGGAAGAAGCAAGACGGUACCUGACUCAGAAGCCCCGGCUAACUACGUGCCAGCAGCCGCGGUAAUACGUAGGGGGCGAGCGUUAUCCGGAUUCACUGGGUGUAAAGGGAGCGUAGACGGCUGUGCAAGCCAGGGGUGAAAGCCGGGGGCCCAACCCCGGGACUGCCCUUGGAACUGCAUGGCUGGAGUGCGGGAGGGGUAAGCGGAAUUCCUGGUGGAGCGGUGAAAGGCGUAGAUAUCAGGAGGAACACCGGCGGCGAAGGCGGCUUACUGGACCGCGACUGACGUUGAGGCUCGAAAGCGUGGGGAGCGAACAGGAUUAGAUACCCGGGUAGUC
RNAcentral lists this ribosomal RNA (441 nucleotides) under uncultured bacterium. RNAcentral's name for it is "partial 16S ribosomal RNA". It matches the Rfam family "Bacterial small subunit ribosomal RNA", at positions 338 to 795 of the family's 1533-position model. The record is from RNAcentral.